Long non-coding RNA from Ostrea edulis (European flat oyster), 9014 nucleotides. RefSeq lists it as uncharacterized. The record is from RefSeq and is a predicted model, not a curated record. The transcript has 2 exons. Lineage: Eukaryota; Metazoa; Mollusca; Bivalvia; Ostreida; Ostreidae.
UAUAUAUAUAUUGCCCUAUACCGUUGGUAUUUAUAUGAGAAUUCACACUUUUAGGUGCUAUGAUACAACACAUAGUGUUUUCACUUUUAAGACACAUAUUUAUUUACUAGAUAGAUAAAUAAAGGUCCCUCCCAAGUGUCUAAAUAUUAAUCAGCUAUCAGAUAUUUAUUAAUUGAGAUGUACAUAAUUCGUAUUAAAUUUCUUAAUUUUAUUUACUUGCCUGGGCCCAUUUGAAGCUAACCCUCCCCUCCUUCCUUCAAUACAAGUUUUUCCAAAUGUCAUAAUAUUAAACCGAAACCGCUGUAGAUAUACAUUGAAUAUUCUGUAAAAAAGUUUUAAAUCACAUACGAACAAAUAUCGACACUCAUAACAAGAUUUUUACUAAUACGUAACAAAGAUUAUGCAAUCGCUGAAAACGUGAUUCAUGAUAUUUUUAGAUGAUAAUCAAUACAUAUUUACAAUUCAUAAGUAAAAAGGGUGUGUGGAAGGUUGAAGGGGGAGUCGGAAAGCGUGAUACAUGAACCAUCAUGCCUCAAUUAAAACUACCUCUAUUGUGACCUCACCAUGUGCGACUUCUAGUGGAAUAUCGAGUCCAAAACGUACGGUUAAAACUAAGUGAUAAAUUCUCUUCCGAAAAAUUGUGACACAAGGGCACGCCGAAUACAACGUGCCUUAUCACUGGCACUUAACUACUGGAUCGAUAUUUUAGGUUGAAGACAUCGCAUACGUUUUUUGCACACUGUUUUUGACUACCGAUUGCUCCGUUUAUCUUAUCAAGAUAUCCGGCUAAAUGUGGGUGUGAUCGGUCGACAAGGGAUGUUUAUUCUUUCUCGUCAACUGAUCCCACCUCUUGUAUAUCAUGGUGUUUUUCUUUUACCGAUUAUUAAUUUUGUAUAUCUCAGAAUGGUAAUGCAAUGUUUAUUAUCAUUUUUGUAUUUAAGCAAUGCCUUAAACAUUUUUUAGUAAAGUGUUCGUCUAGGGGUACAGCGUUCGCCCCGCAUGUGUAAGGCCGGGGUUCGAUUCUCUGCCGUGAUAGACCUAAGUCGUUAAAACAGGUAGUGACAGUUCAAUCGCCAAACGCUCAGCAGCAGGUGUAAAUGUCACGGGUCAUCGGUGAUGACCUUAAAACGGACGUCCCGUGUCACAGUAGGUGUGGUACGCUAAAGAAUCCUCAUUGCCCAAUGGCCGAUAGCGCCGAGCAUAGGAUAUUGUAGUUGAAACAUGUAUAACACGCAUCCUUCCAACAAUAGGGGGUACCUUUAGAGAAUUUAUGGCAAACUUCCAUGAGAACCGAGUGAAGGGAGUAGCAAGAGCAGAUCAUACACAGGGUACCCGACCUGCACCAGCUCCAGGGCCCUCUACGACAACAUUGGUGGACGCUUCAUCUGGGACAUCCCCUUCACCACCACCCAUCUUGUUGGAGGAAAUCACCUCAGGUUUGUCUUCACCUGUCUGCUCCCCCCACCCAUUUCAGUGUCCCUAACACGAGGGGUUGAUGAUAGGACUAGGGCAAAGAUUCACUCAGGUGAAUUUGUUAAAUUCCCUUUCCUUCUCCUGGCUAAAAACACCACUGAAAUUGAUAACUAUUGCUCAAACGAGAAGAAUGGCCAAUUACUCUUCCUGAAAACGAAUGAGAAGAACUCCAUCCGUACGGUAUCCAAAUGGAUGGAAGCCUUCCAUAUAGUUGUUGCCAUUUACACAGAGAAACAUCCCAAGGAAAUUGACAACUUGAUGGCGUUUGCCCAUACAAUCCAAAACAUAUCUGAGGCUUGUGGAUAUAGUGCAGCACUGUCUUAUGAUGAGAAGUUCAGGCGUUGGCGACAAUGACAGCCCGAAUCAUUAUCCCUGGCAGCGGAAACAUGUAGAACUGCACCAAGAGGCUGUGUUCGCGGGCCUUGAAGUUAAAUUUUAAGUUAAAAAGCAGCCCUUUUGUUCUCUCAACCAUUUGUCAGCAUUCAUCGCACACUGUUUCUUAAAGAAUAUGACAACUUCAUCGAUUCGAACACUUGUAUCCUCCUUAAGCUUUACUUUUCAACUUGGAGGUUACCCAGACAUUACAUUAUUAGGAAAAUGUUAUUAGAUUUCCAAACGUGUAAGCCUUCGUCGGAGGCCAGACUUCCAAUAGCGCCGCAUAUUCUAAUUCAACUUGUGAAAGCCCUAAUCACACCACCUCAUCAACUUUCGUUAUACACCUUUUAAGAGCCAUGUUCAUAUUAGCAUUCUGUGCUUUCUUACGGAUUGGGUAAAUCACCAAGACACCCGGCCUAACCUAGCAUUUCCUGUUGCUUGAAAAUAUUUCAUUCCAAAAUGGACCCAACCAGCAACAAGUUAUUAACAUCAAUAUCCCACAUUUCAAACACUCAAAGACAAAUAUGCCUACGCUUAGGUUACACCAAAAUGCUAAAAAUCCUAUCAUUUGUCCCUGUGCUACAUUUAAUCAGUAUUUACAACUACGGAAACAUUCGUCUUAGUCUGAAACACUUUUCUCUUCCAUGGAUGGCUGUCUGGUUUCAAAACAAUUCUUUACACAGCAUCUUCGUUCCGCUAUGGCUUUUUGUAAUCUGAACUUGCAGCGUUAACAAUCUCAUAGCUUUAGAAUGGGUGCAGCAACUACUGCUGCAGCAUCUGGGUUCUCUGAAUUUCGGAUAUAAACCAUGGGUAGAUGAGAUUCAACUGCGUUCAAAAAGUACAUCCGUACCCCUACUUUUAACGUGUAACAUUCGCUAUUUGGUCAUUACGUCAUACAGACAGGGCUUUAUGUCAUGAUUAUCUCAUAUAGGAGCUCUAGGCCAGGUCAUCAAUUAACAAUUUCGUUAUGGGAUGUGCAGACAGGGGCUGCACAUCCUGGAAUGUGAACCACUCAGUCAGGGGCUGGGGGUUCCUUAGUGCACAUGUCAACUAACUUAAACAGUCAGCGGCUGCGACCGCUAUACAGAUUUUUAACUUUUCUUUUGAACUACUCUGUUUAUAUCUUUUUGUUUUCUUGUCUUAAGUUGCCUAUGUUUUUUAUGGGGUGUUUACAAGGUGGCCCGAUUUUUAUGUUAAGCAGUGACAUAACAAAUCUGCCUACCUUGUUAAUGUGAGGAGGUAACACCCAAUAACAGAGGUUUUUAUUGAAUGAUCUCAUUUUUCUAGUCAUAUGUACUAGUACCAUUAUUUUUGGUAAAAUAUCAAUGAUGAACUUUUGUAUAUAUGUUAAACCCCAGUGUCUGUAAACCACAGUCACUAGGAUCCCUUUCUCCGUCCCUUCGAGUUGCAACCCACGGUAAACUGUUUGCCCCUAUUUUGUCGCCCUUUACGGCAGGCAAAAAGGGUGCCGGGGAUUUAUUCUUUUCGAGAAGAAAGAAGUUUUAUAUGAAAAUUAUAGAAAAUCACGAUAUUGUUUUGGAAUCAUUUGAAAAGCAUUCAAAUUUAUAAAGAUCUAAGCCUAAUUUUCCUUCUUUUAUUAACAAAUACCCCAUUUUAAUCCUCGCCUAGAGUGCCAGGGGCCCCUGGAUGGGACACAUCUAUACCACAGUAAAUACAAAACCAUAUAGAUGUGUAAAUUGUUACAUGUAUCAAAACUAAUUGAUGAUAAUGAAUUGUUUAUGUGGUUGCUUUGUGUUGGGGCUAAUUUUAGCCUUCCCGUACAUGUCAUGACUGUGCAUGCUCAUUUUAUUCUUUGUUUGUGUACACUGUUUACAUGUGAUAACGCCUUUUAUAUCAUUGCUUUUUAAUGUUUUAUUUAUUUUCUAUGUAUUAUGUGUAUAACAUUCUGUUGUAAGGUAUAUAUGCAUUGUCAAAUACCUUUGCGCGUACAUAGUGUAUGAAAAGAGUGCUAUAUAAUUAAGGUAUUAUCAUUAUUAUUAUUAUUAUUAUUAUUGUAUUUCAAGUCAGUAAGCAACCACCCACCCCUCCUCAUGCGCUGAUUUUUUUAUUUCCAUACCAGGAGUUUUAUAAGAAUGCUUUUAAUUUCCUAGUCAUGUAUUUUUUGGUAGGCGAGGUAACACCCCAUAACAAUUUUUUUUAUUGAAUUAUCUCAUUUUUCUAGUCAUAUGUACUAGUACCAGUAUAUUUGGUAAAAUACCAAUGAUGAGCUUUUGUAUAUGUGCUAACAAUUUAGUGCAUAAUGUAGCAUUAGUCAACUCCUUUUUAUUAUUUGGAGUGUUUGCCUGGUUAGAUGUUUUAUUCAUUGCAUAUUGUAUCUUUUUUAUAUACCAGGCAGCUGUUUUUUAUUCCGAUUGAUUUGUUGUCAUUUAUACUUAAUAAAUGACCUAUUUUAUCUUUUAAACGGGGUUGGUUUGAUUUGUGGGUAGCAGACUAACAUAAAGAAAAUAAUGUUAUAUAGUACAUGAUUGUGUAGAAAUAGAAACAGGAAAAGCAUUGGCUGCGAUAAUAUUGUUAAAUUCAAAAAUUUUAUUUCAAUGUUUUAUAUAAUCAAAAAGAAAAAAAGACAUUGCUCAAGGUAUUUUCAUUCUACACAAGAAAAUUAAUCGUUUGCCCUGGGCUACGCUACUAAAGGCAUGCCACCUCAAAGAAUGGGUUUCUAGAUCAUAUAAAAGAGUUAUUGUUAUAUAAUAUAAUAUAACAUAUAUGAAUAUUCAUACUGCACAGUUGAUGCAAAAGGGGCUUAAUCUUCACCUAGGGCACCAUGGAUUGGAUACAUUUGUAUAAUACAAGUUCUAGGCAUAAUUAAGACAUUGUUUGAGAAAAGGAAAUUUACUUUCAAAUGUUUUAAGAAGUGUGAUACUAUCAAAUUAAAAAUUAUAACUAGUUAGAAAAAAUACAAGAUAGAAAAAUAUGAGUGGGAUUAAUUCGAUUUAACAAUUCUUUAGAAUGUGAUAUAUGUAUACUUUUGAGAUUUCAUCAGGCGAAUGAAAAUACCUUCGGAAUCAUUUGAGAACACUGGAAUGCUAUGGGGAAAAAUAUGUGAGAAUUUAUCAAAUGAUUUAGAAUUAUUUUCGAAUUAUUUGAGAACAUUCAUAAAAUUGUCGUGAUAUACAAUUACAUUUGAUCGAGAUGAAAUGAUGAGACAUAUUUCUAACAUUUUAUCAGAGGAAUGAAAAUUAUGUUGGGUUAAUGCUUUUUAAUGUUUCUCUGAGUGGUAUUGUGUGGUAACAUUGUGUCGAUGAAAAACGAAAUACUCUUCUUCUUAGAUGCUAUUUAAUAAAAAGGUGCACUCUUCAGAUAUCAAAACGAGUUUGUAAUUUAUUCCAGCAAAUGUUUUUUUUUUUCUGCAUAUUAUGUAUGUCACUGCAAAAUGCCUUCAUUUUAAUGCAUUUGACAGUCCCGUUACGUUAUAAAUAAUUUUUACAAUAAGGAUCGAACUAAAUCGAAUAACAAUAUGGAUUACUAUAAAACAUUUUCGUUUUUCCACUUCAUGAAGACUAUUUCAUAAGCAAAUCCCCAUCUCAAAUGCUAGUGCAGCAUAUAUUUAUGAUUGUUUAGAAAAGUGUUCCAAACUUCUGAUAUUUUAUUUUUUUCUUUUUCUUGGCAAUUGCAGCAGAUUAUUUAACAUUUUGUUUUGUAAUGUUAUUAGUACUAUCAUAACUUGUAUAUCCGUACAUCAUCAUUAUAAGCCAAGCCUAGCGAUUCUCAGUACUUUCCGUACUUUGAUAUUUAUUCUGAUGUUUUCAGGAUCCAAAAGAUCUCCAUAAUGGUGCAAAAUAAUUAUAUGAAUAACCGAUAAUAAGCUCCGUGUAUUAGUCUUAUGAGUUAUGAGAUUGAUCACUGUUCGUUAUAUUCACCGUUUGCAAAUGUUGUUUACUCCAAAGGAGUACCAACUUUGUGCUUGGGUAUGUCUAACAUAGGUGUUUUUAAUAAACAUAAUAUACAGAAUGCAAAAUUCUUUGUCUGCUCCGCCAUGCUUGUUAUCGCGAGAUCUCGUAGGUGGAUCUACUGGAAAACCUAAAUAUUGACAAUCUGUGCGAAAAUGUGUUACUCGAGCCACUCCGACAAAGAACGGAAAUUCAUAUGGUUAUAUAAUUUACACUCUGCUGUUCGUUUUUUAACUUGACAUAUUAAAUCUAAACCUUUUUUUAUUACCGACGAAAUAGCUUUCUCCUUCGUACUUGUCCAUUGAUGUAAAUACUACCUUAUAUGGCAUAUGCAAAUAACUUGACAAUCGGACAUUGAAACUUCAGUACUUCAAAAAUGGGGCACAAAAAUGAAUCGAGAAAUUGAAUAUAUCGAAAUUUUUGAAAACGGUAGAAUAGAGCCUCACAAAUCGUAAGCUGCAGGUUGAAAAUUAAUAUAUUUACUAAGAAACAUAGAAUAUAUACACUCUUUUAUUUGUCUGUAAAUAUGUUUUAUACAGGACCACAAUGUAAACUAGUCAUUUGUACUAAUUGUGCUAUCCUGUCUAAAUAAAAGAAUUUAUUAUUAUAGAGAAAAGAAUUUAUUAUUAUUAUUAUUAUAUAAUUUCAUUUACGUAAAGUCGGCAAAAUUAUGUCUAGAAUUAUCGAAAUUGUUGUGGGAGUGAAUCACUCCCGCAUUUGCACCUUUACGGAGAUCCUAAGGAGUUGUACCCCCCCCCCCCCUCCAGCAAACAAAAUCGGAGAGGGCUACAUUAUUGCAGCUAGCCAGAAUUCUGCUUGAUUCAGUAUUAAUUCUUCGUGACAGAAAUAAAAAUAAUUAAUCAUUAAUGAUUGUUUUACUUUAUUAUAGUUCUCAAAAGAACUGUAUUAUGUGAGAAAUAAAUAUAAUAUCAAUUGUAUGUAGUAUAGUUCCUGUUUUUUAUGCUCAAAUUAAGGUUGAUCGAUCCUCAUGUGAUGUCAUAAGUUUUUGCAAAACCUUUAUUUAAUACAUUUUGCGCAUGUUAGAAUUAUAUCUUUUAGAGGAAUUUUAUUCACUGGAUAGAAUAAAAAAUCUGGUAAACUAGUGAAACUAAAAACGUUUUUACUUUCCAUAGAUAAUCGAUGAUUUAUAAUUUAAAAAAUGUAGUUAAGGGCAAUAACUCCUAUGAUGGAAUUUUUUCUUCUGCGUGUCUAUUAUACAAUGUUUUCCCUAAUAUCUACAAUUGAUUUUUGUACAUGUAUGAAGUAGCAGUUUUUUUUUUAAACUAUUGACAUUUGAAAUUUGGCAUUUCAACAAGUUCUUAUCAAUUUUUAUUAUUCUCUUUAACGAAAAUAUGCGAUUUUUUAAUGGCGAUAUAUACUUUUGCUUUUGUAUAUCUGACAUCUCUACAAAAAUGGCAACAUAAACAUUAUCUUUGGUUAUCAAUUUUAACUAUAUUGAAUGGAAAUUAAUACAGUUUUUCCACUUUCAACCAUUAAUAUUGAUAAGUCACAUGAGGAUCGAUCAACCUUAAGGCAGAUUUUAACAUUAUUGUUGAUCCACAUUGUGAUACUACACAGUAAAUUAUAUGACCUCGAACGGCGUAUUCGGCGUGUCUGCGCGUCAGUCAAUGUUGUUAAUGUUUUCCAGUAUAAUUUGGUGUGGAAAAAACACUCAAAUGUCUUUACUUUUUAGCUGUAUCGCUUGUUUUUCUACGGAAAUAGCUUACGCUAAUAUCGAGCUUAAUCAAAGCUUUUUUCAAAGACAACAAACUAAUGAUACUUAGUGUCUUAUAGCUAUUGAUAUAUAUUUACUAUAAACUGUUUAUAGUCACGUGAUAAUUCACAAGUUUAGGUACUACGAUACAACACACAAUAGUUUCCAUUUUAUGACUAAUGACAAAUAAUUAUAUAUUAAAUAAAUAAAUUAGAGUCUCAAUCCAGUGUCUAAAUAUGAAUAAGCCGUCAUACUUUCAUGAAUUGUUAUAUAUAAUAAUUUUCAAUAUAUUUACACCUCGACUGGCCCAAUUUUAAACCGAAACCGCGCAUAUAAGACCCUAAUUGGUACUUGUUAUAUUCGCAAGGGAGUGAUAAAACAAUUUACCAAUCAGAAACCACCUUCAACUGAAUAUCCGAUGACAACCGAAUUGCCGAUAACGCGUUUACCAGUGUGAUUAAGAAUAUACUUUGAAUCCCCCCCCCCCUUCUUUUAGUGAUUAGCACCUAAGCCGUGAUGUUAUCGAAUACCUCUCGUCUGGCACCGAGCUCCGAUUAGGGAAAGUCUUCGAUGUAACACCCUCUUUUGUUCAAUAUACCGUAACAAGUAGUUGUGUAUUCAAAGAUACGUAAUAAAAUCCGACAAAAAUGCAUGUAAAAUUUGAAAUUUGAUGACGCUUUAUUAAAGCCGUACGGAGCUCCGGCGCUUUUCAUAUUAAAGAAAUUUGAUUGCGAUUCCGCACAUCUACGAUCUCAUCUCAGCUCUACAAUUGCUUAAAAAUUCAAGUUGAUACCUUCAAUGGUUUUCGAAACCAAUCGCUGACAAACUGACUCUCUAAAUAUGAAAAUAAAAGUAUCUAAGGUAACGCGUGAUGUAAUUAAAAUCGGGAAAAUGUAUCUUGAGUUCGUGUGAACAUCUAUCAUGAUAUCAUCCCUUGAAAUUUCACGACAAUCGAUAUACGCAUAUCUGGGAGAUCGCUGUCAUAAAACUUGCAAGAAAAAAAUGUUUCGAGGUGUUCGUCUUUCCCGGGUAUUCCCAUCUCUCGAAUUUGUAUUCUCUAUAAGAUUAAUGAAUUUGACCACUGUUCGCAAUCUUCACUUUUCCAUACAUCUUUCUUCAGUUUCCUACCAAUGAAUGUCAACAUGUAAUCUUCAAAUGUCGAUUGAGAUGAACUAUUGCUUGAACGGAAAAAGAAUAAUAAUCGUGUGAUCGAUGUUAAACGACAGAGGCUUACUAAGAUUAAACCCCCGCCCCCAUUCCUCUACUCUUCAUUACGUGUAUGAAUUUAGAUCAUUAUGCGACAUGUACAUGUUAAUGUCGUGUGUGAGAGGUUUAGAAUAACUUACAGUUCACAAGUGUCCGUGGGGAUGUUGGUCGGUACUCCUCUCAGUCCUUUUCUACGACAAUUUACAUAAGUCCCAUCACAGUUAUAUGACUUACGACAGCUACACCCGUCAGGACAGGCGUCCGUCCCCUGGCUGUAAAGCACAGAGAGCACGACAGACAACAAAACCACCAGCUGCAUCGUUAUUAUCUGAAGGAAA